AGACAGGUUAGUUUUCCCCUACUGUCGGUUGCGGUCACGCAACGGAAAUCCGAUUUAGUACGAGAGGAACCGUCGGUUCGCAUCUCUGGCAAAGGCGUUGCCUGAACAGGCAGUGCGCCGAACCUACGUGCGUUGAUGUAUUGUUGAACGCCUCUAAACAAGAACUCAUUCCGGAAACGUGGCUAUUUACGUGGCGGCUCGCAGGCACAAGCGAACAAAUAGCGCCGCACCAACGCGGCGCUACGUCCAUACCAUGGCGGCGGCCCGCGCGCGCCACACGCGCAGCGCCGGGCUCGCCGCUCGUACAUAAUUGCUCCGCACCGCCUCGAAAAUCUCCUACAUACCAUUUGAACAAAACCGGGUGAUGUACGUGUCUGAGCCACCUCGCGUGGCGAAGCAUUGAGUCUUAGCCCGUGUUUUCGAGAUU
Molecule: ribosomal RNA, 427 nt
Filed under: Madagascaria erythrocladioides
Lineage: Eukaryota; Rhodophyta; Compsopogonophyceae; Erythropeltidales; Erythrotrichiaceae
Description: partial Eukaryotic large subunit ribosomal RNA
Rfam family: Eukaryotic large subunit ribosomal RNA
Source: RNAcentral